UCGGAUAGGGGCCACCACAAUACAAAGUUAACUUUUUUCAUUUUUUUAUUGUCAUGAGAAACAUAAUUCCAUAUUGGUCAUUAUCAAAGUUAAUUAAAAAAAUACCAUACCUGCUAAGGAGAAGGCAUGGUCCAGUUUUCUGUGUGGCCAGUUACAUUUCAGUGGGUGGCUAGCCAGCAGUCUUCUCUUGGCCACACAAAAUGGAUCUACAAAUAACAUUCGUUUCCUCUGAAAAGAUGGGGGACGGAGCUGGCAAGAUCUGUGUGCUGGAGCCUGGGACCUGCCUGCCAUUUGGUCUUCUGUCAGGCAUUGCCAAGGAGGGAUCUAUGUGGGGGCAGGAAAAAUGCUCUGUGAAUUAUGUCCUCGAGAAGUCACCAUCUGGUCAAUAUUCAUCUUGCUUAGAGAAAUACCGAAGAUAUGUGCCGGACGCAGAUGUUAAUGCAGAUCACAAGGCACCAGUGACCGAGGUUCUAGCACGGUGCCUGGGAUACAGUACAUAUUUCACAAAUAUAUGUUCAUCGAUCGAUAGUUUCUACCCAAUGUUAACCUACGAGAAAAAAAAAAUGGUCAAAGCAGCUGAUGGAGCAAUUCUGCCAAAUCCCAAGAGGAAUCUUGUUCUGAAAACAGCUGCUCUCUGGGUUUCUUGCUUUCCCUGUGGACUAUGCCCAGGGCUGCUUUACUCCAGUGGAAGUGGGAUGGCAGCCAGAGGCAAAGGUCAUCGCAGUCUGGGAAGCCCUUCCCUUGACACACUGAUGAAAAAACAAGCUAUGUCAAGAAAUAGAAAUGCAUGAGGGUAAAUAACUAUGUAGAGGCCACUCUGUGUCGGUUGGGAAGAAGUCCUCAAGUAUUCAACUUUUUAUGAAUAACUAGAAGGAAAAAGGAAUAAUAGCUCACACUUGUGUAGGUCUUUAAGGUUUGCAAAGUGCUUUAUAGACAUUAUCUCAUUCGACCCUCACAGUAACUUUAUGAGUAUUGUUUUAUACCUGUUUUACAAAUGAGGAAACUGAGGCUCAAAAAGAAUACGAUCUCCUCAGGUCACACGGCCAGUAAGAGGUUGAAGAAGGAUUGCACUUCUGUUCUCGGUGAUUCCAAGUUUGGCAUUCUAUCUACUACUGUAUUGUUUCAAAAGACAAUAUGAUCAAUAUAUGGUUUGAUGGGGAUAUGAUUGGGGAUUUUGACCUAAAAUGAUCACUCUAUUGCAAAUAUGAAUAAUAUGGAAAUAGGAUUUGAACAAUGAUACAUGUAAAACCCAGUGGAAUUGCUCGUCAGAUCUGGGAGGAGG
Molecule: long non-coding RNA, 1282 nt
Organism: Monodelphis domestica (gray short-tailed opossum)
Lineage: Eukaryota; Metazoa; Chordata; Mammalia; Didelphimorphia; Didelphidae
Source: Ensembl